ACACUUGAUUAAAAGCCUUCAACAACCCACCACCACGAUCACUGAUAAAGGUGAUUACCCUUCCCUGCGGUUCCAGGAAAGCCUUUAGGUGCUUGAAGAAAAAAAAAACUAGUUGUCUUCAGUCUCUGAGUCACAGAUACACAGGACUAAAGGGAAGAAACCUGCACAAACAAAAAUAAAUAAAAAGUUAUUGGGGGUCAAUAACUUAUAAAGCAGCGUGCCGCUGCACCGCCAACGGGAGCGUUCCGCUCCAAAAUGUGAAUUUAACAAACAAAAAUAAUAAAUGAAAACAAUUUCAACACAAACAUAAAGCUGAAAAACAAUUACUGGGGGUUAAUAAUUUAUCGGGGGUACCUUUGUCUCCAUUUCUUCCAGUGGCAGAAAGAAUCUGACCCUUGUAAAUGCUCUUUUCAAAUGUACCAUCCACAUAUAAAACAGGGAGAUUGAACUUGAACUUCCAUAAGCCACAAAAACCCUUUGGAACCUAUUAGUAUUCUCCUCAACUUCAAGGACAAAGGAAGACCUUGGAUUAGUCUCCAAAACAGCAUCCUUAUACCAACUUAACAUCGAAAAGGAAUCAGAUUCAGAGCCAUACAUCUUUUCCAAACACCUUUUCUUUGCUCUUGAAGCAACCUUAUAACUAAUUUCAAAACCAUAAGUAGACUUGAAAUUAUUCAUAAUAUCAGCAGGCUUCAAACCAAGGUUAAGGAACACAUUGGACUCAAUGCAUGUCCUAACUAUUUUGGACCCUAACUGUCGAUGAGUUUGAUUCCUAAGCACACCUUUACAAGUAUGUAUGUUAUUAAACUCCUUAAUAUAAAAACAAUUAUUUAUAGGAGCCACAGAUCCAAUUACUUCCCAGCCACAUUUUUCAGUUCCAUGAUUUUCACAAACAGCUCUGACAUAGAGUGAAUCAUUCCUAGGUAGCACAUAACAAAAACCAGUUUGAACCGCAUACUUCCUAAGUUUAUCUCGAAAAAUCCUGAACACUUUCAAACUUCUGCCCCUUGUGUAAAAGGUAAGAACCCCAAUC
This 1033-nucleotide long non-coding RNA is filed under the name Fragaria vesca (wild strawberry). RNAcentral describes it as "long non-coding RNA (FVES_LNC004832)". Lineage: Eukaryota; Viridiplantae; Streptophyta; Magnoliopsida; Rosales; Rosaceae. The record is from RNAcentral.